Zeugodacus cucurbitae (melon fly) is the source of this 1945-nucleotide long non-coding RNA. RefSeq lists it as uncharacterized. NCBI's taxonomy places the organism in Eukaryota, Metazoa, Arthropoda, Insecta, Diptera, Tephritidae. The transcript has 2 exons. The record is from RefSeq and is a predicted model, not a curated record.
UUUGUGUUUAAUUUUCGUUUUUAAUUACUUACAAAAAAUAUUUAUUUUCUUGAAAAAAAAAAAAUAAAUUGGAAAAUUAUAAUUUUUAAUUGCUAUUUAUUUCGUUUGUAAUUAUGUAUAUUGUAAAUUUCGAGACAAAUUUGACGAAUGUUCAACAAGACAUCAACCCUUACCGGUUAGCCAAUCCCUACUAUCCAUCUUGACUUAAGACCUAACUCGAAACCUUGCUAUUAAUCAAGAUAGUCCCUUAUUUGACGUUUUGACUGUCAGAAUGCAGAUCCAUUGUAUGAUUAUUGUUGUUGUUAAAUUACAUGCAAGUAAUUUGGAGAAAUGCUGGCGAGUUUACGGUACUUAAUCAGAUAUGAGCAUUUCCACAGAAUCGUCAACCAGGACCAAAAAUUAAGAUGUUAAUAAAGAUAAAUUUUUUUUAAUAAGAUUUUACAAAGAUGUUUAAAUUUUAUGAAUAUAAUGUUUUCAUAACCUCUCUCUGGUAUUUUCAUGAAAAAUUUUACCUGAAACCUGAAAACUUAUUUGUUUUUACUUUGAGCUACUCUACAAGUAAUUUUUCUCUUGAGUUAUUUUAUAUGAAUAACUUAUGUUAUGGUUGUACUUUUCCACAAAAUCUCUUUAUUAAUACCAAAUAAGAAGAUAAAAAUGCAAAGAGGCCAAACAAAAAUCGAAUAACGGUAAAUUUUUAUUUUGCUUAUUAUCUACGAUCUAAUCGUACGUUCGCGACCAAAAACGUCAUUUAUUGCUAUUACUUCACAUUGAGUGCAAACAGGUGCCUAAAAAAACAGGAUUAAAGCAAGUUAAGGAUCCGUAAUCAAAAAACAAAAUUACUUUAGGUAAACAGUGCAUCAAACUUUUUAUUUCGAUUUUCAAAAUUUCGUACGUUCGCGACCGUAAGUAUUGAUUUGUUUCUAAACAAAUAUUCUAAUGAAAAUUAUAUGACAAACGAUUGCGAAAAGUGUACAAAAGAUGUAAAAGGGCCGCUAAAAUACUUGUCAAAAAUGGACGCAAAUGUUAAAUGGCAGUACUGGAGGAAAUUGAGCGAUCGUGUAAUUUUGACUUGCACUGUUGCUGCGUUAUCGGACUUGCUCCAUGAACUACAAGUUUAACUGCCAAUUUUUAAGCAACAUUUCUUUAUAAAGCGAGCACAACAAAAUUAUUUUGAAAACAGAUAAAAAGACAGCAUGGCGAAUUUGAAAGUAUUUUUGUUUUUUCGGACGGAAGGAGUAGUCAAUUUAAAAAUAAGUUUAUUGCUUGGAGUUUACCUGAUUUACUGGCCGAAUUUGGUUGUAAAAAACUUGAGUGGAACUAUUUUGCAACGUCACAUGGUAAAGGUGCAGUCGAUGGCGUUGGAGCAGUUGUGAAAAGAAAAAUCUGGCAAAUUACGAGAACAAAAAAUGUCGUUUUAAACGAUGCAUUCUCUUUUUACAGUUGUGCGCAAGAGCACAUUACUGAAGUUAAAAUUUUAUAUAUUGGAGCUGAUACAAUUUUCGAGAUAUCUCCAACUUUAUAUCGAAAAUGGAAGGAUAUACCGAAUAUUGCAGGUAUCAGAAUGGUGCAUUCGAUUUCCCAAGACGAAAAUCUUGAGCUACGAACUGCUCGUACGGCCUAUUCAAAAUAUAACAAUAUUAAAUAAAUAUUUCUUGUGCUUUAUAUAUGUUUAUAUCUUUUCAAUCAAUAAAAGGAAUAUUAGUUUGCUUUAUUUAAGAAAAGGUUUCCAAAAUCCAAAUAAAAACUUGAUGGAAAAAUCGUACGUUCGCGACCGGUACUCACCAUUAUAAAUAAAAAACCAAUGGACAAAUUUCAGCGUGCAAUUAGUUAGGAGGAAGUUACUUUAUUCCAAUUUAAUAUAAAUUAAUCCUUUUAGAAUAUUUUGUUCCAUUUCGCUAUUUUUUGCGUUUUUCUAGUUGCACCCAAAAGCAACUUCCAUUAUUCG